Molecule: microRNA precursor, 68 nt
Filed under: Nematostella vectensis (starlet sea anemone)
Lineage: Eukaryota; Metazoa; Cnidaria; Anthozoa; Actiniaria; Edwardsiidae
Description: microRNA nve-mir-9455 precursor
Source: miRBase by way of RNAcentral
AACUUAGACCCUGUUCACACGGAACCGGAUGAAUAUUCGUCCAGACCUGUGUGAAUAGGGUCUUAAGA